RNAcentral lists this ribosomal RNA (504 nucleotides) under uncultured soil bacterium. RNAcentral's name for it is "bacterial SSU rRNA". It matches the Rfam family "Bacterial small subunit ribosomal RNA", at positions 26 to 528 of the family's 1533-position model. The record is from RNAcentral.
AGGAUGAACGCUGGCGGCGUGCUUAACACAUGCAAGUCACGGGGGCCCAGCAAUGGGCAACCGGCGAACGGGUGCGUAACACGUGAGCAACCUACCGAAAUGAGGGGGAUAGCCGGCCCAACGGCCGGGUAAUACCGCAUACGCUCGAGACCAGGCAUUUGGACUCGAGGAAACCUCCGGGGCAUUUCGAGGGGCUCGCGGCCUAUCAGCUAGUUGGUGAGGUAACGGCUCACCAAGGCGACGACGGGUAGCUGGUCUGCGAGGAUGGCCAGCCACAUUGGGACUGAGAUACGGCCCAGACUCCGUACGGGAGGCAGCAGUGGGAAUCUGCGCAAUGGCCUAACGGCUGACGCAGCGACGCCGCGUGAGGAUGACGCUCUUCGGAGUGUAACCCUUUGCCUGAGACGAAUUGACUAGUCUUUAGACGUUGAUUUUGACUUGUAAGUCGGGUAGAAUUAAGCACCGGACUAACGUCCGUAGCCAGCUACGCCGUACGGUAAUCGU